ACCUAAUAGAUACCCUGGUAGUCCACGCCCUAAACGAUGCGAACUGGAUGUUGGGUACAUUACGGUACUCAGUGUCGAAAGCUAAACGCGUUAAGUUCGCCGCCUGGGGAGUACGGUCGCAAGACUGAAACUCAAAGGAAUUGACGGGGCCCGGCACAAGCGGUGGAGUAUGUGGUUUAAUUACGAUGCAACGCGAAGAACCUUACCUGGCCGUUGACAUCUGUCGAAUCCUGCAGAGAUGCGGGAGUGCCGCAAGGAACGACAAGACAGGUGCUGCAUGGCUGUCGUCAGCUCGUGUCGUGAGAUGUUGGGUUAAG
RNAcentral lists this ribosomal RNA (317 nucleotides) under uncultured bacterium. Its description in RNAcentral is "bacterial SSU rRNA". It matches the Rfam family "Bacterial small subunit ribosomal RNA", at positions 771 to 1084 of the family's 1533-position model. The record is from RNAcentral.